GAUGAACGCUGGCGGCGUGCUUAACACAUGCAAGUCGAACGAUGAAGCUCAGCUUGCUGGGUGGAUUAGUGGCGAACGGGUGAGUAACACGUGAGUAACCUGCCCUUAACUCUGGGAUAAGCCUGGGAAACUAGGUCUAAUACCGGAUAGGAGCGCCUACCGCAUGGUGGGUGUUGGAAAGAUUUAUCGGUUUUGGAUGGACUCGCGGCCCAUCAGCUUGUUGGUGAGGUAAUGGCUCACCAAGGCGACGACGGGUAGCCGGCCUGAGAGGGUGACCGGCCACACUGGGACUGAGACACGGCCCAGACUCCUACGGGAGGCAGCAGUGGGGAAUAUUGCACAAUGGGCGAAAGCCUGAUGCAGCGACGCCGCGUGAGGGAUGACGGCCUUCGGGUUGUAAACCUCUUUCAGUAGGGAAGAAGCGAAAGUGACGGUACCUGCAGAAGAAGCACCGGCUAACUACGUG
RNAcentral lists this ribosomal RNA (466 nucleotides) under uncultured bacterium. Its description in RNAcentral is "partial 16S ribosomal RNA". It matches the Rfam family "Bacterial small subunit ribosomal RNA", at positions 28 to 507 of the family's 1533-position model. The record is from RNAcentral.